Molecule: ribosomal RNA, 1369 nt
Filed under: uncultured bacterium
Lineage: Bacteria
Description: bacterial SSU rRNA
Rfam family: Bacterial small subunit ribosomal RNA
Source: RNAcentral
GACGAACGCUGGCGGCGUGCUUAAUACAUGCAAGUAGAACACUGAAGAGAGGAGCUUGCUCUUCUUGGAUGAGUUGCGAACGGGUGAGUAACGCGUAGGUAACCUGCCUUGUAGCGGGGGAUAACUAUUGGAAACGAUAGCUAAUACCGCAUAACAAUGGAUGACACAUGUCAUUUAUUUGAAAGGGGCAAUUGCUCCACUACAAGAUGGACCUGCGUUGUAUUAGCUAGUAGGUGAGGUAACGGCUCACCUAGGCGACGAUACAUAGCCGACCUGAGAGGGUGAUCGGCCACACUGGGACUGAGACACGGCCCAGACUCCUACGGGAGGCAGCAGUAGGGAAUCUUCGGCAAUGGGGGCAACCCUGACCGAGCAACGCCGCGUGAGUGAAGAAGGUUUUCGGAUCGUAAAGCUCUGUUGUAAGUCAAGAACGAGUGUGAGAGUGGAAAGUUCACACUGUGACGGUAGCUUACCAGAAAGGGACGGCUAACUACGUGCCAGCAGCCGCGGUAAUACGUAGGUCCCGAGCGUUGUCCGGAUUUAUUGGGCGUAAAGCGAGCGCAGGCGGUUUGAUAAGUCUGAAGUUAAAGGCUGUGGCUCAACCAUAGUUUGCUUUGGAAACUGUCAAACUUGAGUGCAGAAGGGGAGAGUGGAAUUCCAUGUGUAGCGGUGAAAUGCGUAGAUAUAUGGAGGAACACCGGUGGCGAAAGCGGCUCUCUGGUCUGUAACUGACGCUGAGGCUCGAAAGCGUGGGGAGCGAACAGGAUUAGAUACCCUGGUAGUCCACGCCGUAAACGAUGAGUGCUAGGUGUUGGAUCCUUUCCGGGAUUCAGUGCCGCAGCUAACGCAUUAAGCACUCCGCCUGGGGAGUACGACCGCAAGGUUGAAACUCAAAGGAAUUGACGGGGGCCCGCACAAGCGGUGGAGCAUGUGGUUUAAUUCGAAGCAACGCGAAGAACCUUACCAGGUCUUGACAUCCAGUGCAAACCUAAGAGAUUAGGAGUUCCCUUCGGGGACGCUGAGACAGGUGGUGCAUGGCUGUCGUCAGCUCGUGUCGUGAGAUGUUGGGUUAAGUCCCGCAACGAGCGCAACCCUUGUCAUUAGUUACCAUCAUUAAGUUGGGCACUCUAAUGAGACUGCCGGUGACAAACCGGAGGAAGGUGGGGAUGACGUCAAGUCAUCAUGCCCCUUAUGACCUGGGCUACACACGUGCUACAAUGGACGGUACAACGAGAAGCGAACCUGCGAAGGCAAGCGGAUCUCUGAAAGCCGUUCUCAGUUCGGACUGUAGGCUGCAACUCGCCUACACGAAGCUGGAAUCGCUAGUAAUCGCGGAUCAGCACGCCGCGGUGAAUACGUUCCCGGGCCU